GAGAUGCGAUAAGUAAUGUGAAUUGCAGAAUUCCGUGAAUCAUCGAAUCUUUGAACGCACAUUGCGCCCGCCAGUACUCUGGCGGGCAUGCCUGUUCGAGCGUCAUUUCGACCAUCGAGCCCCCGGGCUCGCGUUGGGGAUCUGCGGCCGCGCGUAGGCCCUGAAAAGCAGUGGCGGGCUCGCCGACACACCGAGCGUAGUAGCAUCAGUUCUCGCUCAGGGGCGUGCUGCGGGUCCCGGCCGUUAAACCUUCUCAAACCCAAAGGUUGACCUCGGAUCAGGUAGGAAUCCCCGCUGAACUUAA
Molecule: unclassified non-coding RNA, 304 nt
Filed under: uncultured Ascomycota
Lineage: Eukaryota; Fungi; Ascomycota
Description: sequence contains ITS1
Rfam family: 5.8S ribosomal RNA (bases 1-105)
Source: RNAcentral